UUCAGAAUGACUGUGUUACCUUCACUAAAUUUUCCUGAACGUGGAACUAACUUGAAACACCAGCUCAGCUGUUAAGACAGACAGGUUCAAAAACAGUUUCGAGUCUUCCAAGUGUGAAGUUUGUAUAUUACAACUGUCUUCACCAUUUAAGAAAAUUUCCUUCAGAUAAAAAUUUAAAAUUAUCACUAUCAAGGUCAUUUAAAAUUCUAACAAUACUAAAAGUAGAAAAGACCUCCCUGAAGGAAACACAAAGUGAAUACUUUGAUAUGGAAAAAAAAAUCUCAGGAAAUUUGUCAUUUUUGUAAGAUGCUGAUCUCCUGAAUAUUUCUCCAAGCUACCCAGACAUAUGUCUGAUCUAAAUAAGGAGGCCGCUUCAGAAAUUCUUCACAAACACCCCAAGAAGUCAUAAAAUGAGGGUCCGUGACCUUUGUCUUUGCAAACAAAAUGUUUAAAUCUUCCCACUGAUCAAAGAAAGAAAAUCUCAUUAAAAAUAGUUUCAGAGAGAUUGGAACAGGAAG
Leptonychotes weddellii (Weddell seal) is the source of this 518-nucleotide non-coding RNA. The record is from RefSeq and is a predicted model, not a curated record. Lineage: Eukaryota; Metazoa; Chordata; Mammalia; Carnivora; Phocidae.